Molecule: ribosomal RNA, 253 nt
Filed under: uncultured bacterium
Lineage: Bacteria
Description: partial 16S ribosomal RNA
Rfam family: Bacterial small subunit ribosomal RNA
Source: RNAcentral
UACGUAGGGUGCAAGCGUUAAUCGGAAUUACUGGGCGUAAAGCGUGUGUAGGCGGCUUUGUAAGUCGGAUGUGAAAGCCCCGGGCUCAACCUGGGAAGUGCGCUCGAAACUGCAAAGCUUGAGUAUCGGAGAGGUUGGUAGAAUUCUCGGUGGAGAGGUGAAAUUCGUAGGUAUCGAGGGGAAUACCAGUGGCGAAGGCGGCCAACUGGACGAAUACUGACGCUGAGACACGAAAGCGUGGGGAGCAAACAGG